Molecule: ribosomal RNA, 429 nt
Filed under: uncultured bacterium
Lineage: Bacteria
Description: bacterial SSU rRNA
Rfam family: Bacterial small subunit ribosomal RNA
Source: RNAcentral
UAGGGAAUAUUGCGCAAUGGACGAAAGUCUGACGCAGCAACGCCGCGUGGAUGAUGAAGUAUUUCGGUAUGUAAAAUCCUGUCGGUGGGAAAGAAACGUGUCGGUAGUAACUGCUCGACACUUGACGGUACCCACAGAGGAAGUCCCGGCUAACUCCGUGCCAGCAGCCGCGGUAAUACGGGGGGGACAAGCGUUGUUCGGAUUUACUGGGCGUAAAGGGCGCGUAGGCGGGCCUUCAAGUCAGAUGUGAAAACUUCGAGCUUAACUCGGAGCCUGCAUUUGAUACUGUUGGUCUUGAGUACAGGAGAGGAGAGUGGAAUUCCAGGUGUAGCGGUGAAAUGCGUAGAUAUCUGGAAGAACACCAGUAGCGAAGGCGGCUCUCUGGACUGAUACUGACGCUCAAGCGCGAAGGCUUGGGGAGCAAACAGG